This is a long non-coding RNA of Balaenoptera acutorostrata (minke whale), 1729 nucleotides long. RefSeq lists it as uncharacterized. Lineage: Eukaryota; Metazoa; Chordata; Mammalia; Artiodactyla; Balaenopteridae. The record is from RefSeq and is a predicted model, not a curated record. The transcript is spliced from 2 exons.
AAGAGGGCCUGCUGAAUCAUCUUGCAGUUUUGAGGAUAAUGGGCCCCCUGGAUGAGCUAAUGAAAUGGAAAGAAGACCUUCCAGGCCUUUUCAGUGCACAGAGCAGGACUGAGCUGCCGCAGGCCCGAGAGCAGAUAGGGGAAAGGAAACCAGCUCUUCUGCUGUCAGAUGCACGUUGUCCCCAUGAGCGCACAGAUGUGCUUGCCACUGGUGUGAAACGUGCAGGAAGUUGAUUAUGCCCAGUAGAUGACCUGCUUUGGGGAAUGCCAGCUUCCCAAGUUCUAGGCCGGCUUCAUGCGCUUAUUUUCCUGGGAGUCCUAUUAUGUAUUGCCCGCUCUCCACAACCCUUAUGCCUUACCCUCUCCCAUAGCUCCGCAGUGGGUUUUUUCUGGUAAAAUGUAUGCAGUACCUCCCUUUGGUUGUGUUUGGGGCUGUGAAAGUCUCAGCAGCAAGUAGUCAGUACAUCAGAAACAAGCUCCUGUGGAAAGGAGCCCUGGAUUACCAGUGAUGGGACCUGGCUGUGGUCCCAACUCUGCCACUUGGUAAACUCUGACCUUGGGCAAAACUCAGGCACCCCUAGGAUUUCAUGUUCUUGCCUGUGAAUUAAGGAGCGGACCUCAGGAGUGGCAGGGGUUUCCUGCGGAUUACAGCUCUGAGCCAUACUCGCAACUUCCCUAGAGGGGGUCAAGGGCUUUCCUGGUGGUCCAGUGGUUAAGACUCCGUGCUUCCACUGCAGGGUGCACAGGUUUGAUCCUUGGUCGGGGAAGAUCCUGCAUGCUGCGUGGUGCGACCAAAAAAAAAAAAAGACAAGAAAAAAUGAAAUAUAGUAAAGUGGGUCAAAAUGGUUUCGAGGCGUAGCUCAGCGGGAGGAGUGCUACCUUCAGCCAGCAGUGUCCGCGGAUGGCCCAAGGAGAGGAAACAGGGUGAUGGUUGGCUGGCUACAUCUUGAUCCUUGAACAAACCCUUUCUCAGACCCUUUCUCAUGGAUCGUAGGAAGGCAACCUACUACAGAUUUGGACAACCUGGAAAGGACCCAUCUUGGCCUCGUGGGCACCUGGCUUAACCCUCUCUGUGGGGAUAAUAAUAAACAUGCUUGCCGUAUGGGGUUCUUAUAGGACUCAAUGAAUUCAUAUCAGUAAAGCCCUGAGAACAGGCUGAAUUCCCAUAGUUAUUAUAUCAUUGUACAAAACUAUGAAUCUUAGGAAAACAGGGCUAGCAUCCUCUGAAUGUGGUGUCCCUGUGCUGUUUCUCUUCGCUGCUAAAAUUUCCCUUGUCCAUUUGUUGGGGCUAGUGAUUCUCAGAACAGGGCAAAAGAUGGGAUACCCCGGAUCCUAUUGGAUUUAUAUGUGGAUCUGAAAGACAACUUGUUCAACUCUUUAUAUCAGAUUCCUUUCAAAUAGGACUGCUUCCGUGUGAGGUCCCCCAGCUCACAAAGACUGAGUUAUACCCCUUGCUGUACAGUUGUACAUACCCAGCAGGUGCAUAGAUGACCACGCAACAAAGCACGGAUUCAGCACCACAUCAGCCCAGGUUUAAAUCCCUCUCUCUUUGGGCACCCAGUUGUUUGACCUUGGGCCUCAGUUUCAAGUGUCUGUAAAAUGGGGCUACGAGUUGUGCUCCCCAGAAUCUUUGCAGAGAUUAAAGGAAGGUGUGAACGUGGAAACAUUUGUCCAGUCCAGUGCCUGGCCUGGCACCUCACAAACACUUAAUAAAGAGUGAAGUUAACCUU